AUCGUGACCUGAGCUGAAGUCGACACUUCACCGACUGAGCCACCCAAGCGCCCCCACGAAUAUCAUUCUUAUCACACAGUGGAUUGCUCCUGGGCCUGCCCAAACUUAUGAUUUGGUAGGUCUUACAGUCCCAACUCAUGACGGGCAGUUCUGAUCACAUGAUCACGCGAUGUCCCAUAUUUGGGUGCUCUGUCCCUAUCGGGGCUCAGUAGCAUGCAGGGAGCUGCUUUCUGAACGGCAUGGCGUGGCCUUGCUCCAGAAGCUAGAACUAGGCACUUACCUUGUGAUUCUUCUGUUGGGGCUUGCCAUAAACUCCAUCCAGCGUCUAAUCCCAUUACCCUUAUCUCUACUAUAAGGUCACAUGACCCAAGCCCCAGGGCUGUUUGCAACGCAGCCUGGACUUGCGGCAGAGUUCUUUCCUGCUCUGGGCCCCACUCAAAGUUGGCAGCCUUCUGUAUUGUCCAGUUAAUGGGUAUCCCCACGCGCAGAACAUGCUACCCCAAGAUCCUGAGGAGGCGUACCAAACACGGCGCUCCUCUCCGAGUGGUGAGACAAAAUGCAAUAAGUUGCCUUCUGCUUGGUCGAGGAUGUCCCAGCAUGCCCCAGCCCACCGGGUCCCUCAAACUUCCACUGAUGUGAUAGGGCACUAACUGUCACAGGGUUUAUCUCCCACUCGUGGGAGUUCAUGUGUCUUAUCAAGACCUCCAACAUACUUACCACUUGUCGCUCAACUGUUCCGAUUAACAAGACACCAUCAACGUGGCGCAUCCACGUGAUGUGCAGAUGUCCAGAUGGCCCAGAGCCCUCCAGAUUAUGAGAGAGAGGCGGGAAGUUAACAUGGCCCUGGAGCAAGACCAUCCGUGUCUGCUGUUGUCCACCCCACAAAAAUACAAGUCAUUAGAGAUAGAAAAUAAGGUAUUAGGCAGAUCCACGGCCAUACACGCACGGUGUGCUGGCAGCAAAGAUACCAUGUUGGGUAAAGCACCUGUAGUUGGAACCGCUCGAUCAAGUGACCCACCCUCAUUCGCCACGAUCCAUCCAGAUCGUUCAGGGGCCAGACUUGGGAAUUAAAUGGGGAUACGUUGGGAACUACCAACUCUGCAUUCUUUACAUCGUUGAGGGUGACCCUAAUCUCUGCCAUCCCCCCAGGAUGUGAUACCGCUUAGGAUUCACUCUCUUGGCUUGGUGGCUGAGGGGGGCAUUUCAGAAGCUUCUACCUCAUCUCCUUCACUAUGGUGGCCCUUACUCCGUAGGCCAAAAACUCCAGGAUGAAUGGGGGUUCUGCUAACCGCCCCCCCUAAAUAAGUGCAUUCCAAUUAGACAUCCAGGGAGCAGAGAAAUGACCGCUGGGUAGGUUCAUGGACCCAAUGGAACCACCACUAGUCAGACCUGGGCCCAGAUUCCAUUUAUUAUCCUGAUGAAGGGCCCAGAGUGGAGUUUUGUGUCCCUGGUGUCAACGUUUGUACCAACAAUCCUUGAAAAGUCUGCAUAGUCUCUCUCUCUCUCUUUUUACAGCUCUGUUACCCAAGCAAAUGGCCAUAGGACUCUCUGCAAAGGGAAUGAGCCUCAACCAACUAGCAGUGGGAGUUGAUGAGUCAGUACCCCAGCUUCCUUGCUCAUCUGGGAGAACAAUUGUGCUUCACACUGUCCCCCGGGGUUCCCCAGAGCAAUUGUGCCCCAGUUGCCCACAGAGGUCACCUGCUGUUUCGCUCAGCCUUGAUCAGCCUUCCUCCCUGCACGGUCUCACUUCCCCAGUCCAUCACUGUCCUCCUUGGGACCUCUUCCCAAGUGAACUACUUGCACCUACAUCCUGGUCUCAGAGUGCACUUCUUGGGGAAACCACACUAAGGUAUCAAUGCAGAAAGAAGUGACCGGAGAAGCCAUAGUGUCUCUUCGUGACGUUGAGGCACUUCCGGUUUAUGUGCACAGCGGUGCAGGAAAGGUCCCAUCAGCCUCCGUGGUAACCCCGUCCAACAUUUAAUUCUCGCUGCCAGACCUUUGCUUUUUAUUCUCAACCCUCAAUCCCUCCUGCUGGAAUUUCAAACCACUUCAUCAUCUUAUGAUUUUUUUUUUCCUUUUUUUCUGAGCGAUAGAGAACAGCCGACCACCAACUUCGGUGUAAGAGCCCCUUAUAUGCUGGAGCGUGGGUAUUAAUCUUUCCUUCCCCAGGCUGAAGAAUCCAGGUUCUUUAAAUGAGUGCCCAUCGGUCCCGUUUUCCAGGCUUUUAAUCAUCUUUGCGGCUGUAAGCUGUCACCCCCAGCUGCUCACCAUAGACCAGCCUGCAGGCUUCUGGAGACCACCAGAUGCAUGUCUUAACCCAGAGAAUUUCACAGGAGGGGAGGCGCCCCAGCCGCUGUAAAUCACUCUCCCCCUGGCCUCCUCCCCAAAGCCAGAGAACAAGCCCCAGCUUGCUGUUGAAGGCCAUAAAACUUCUCUUCUUUAAAGGGCCCCUUUGUUGGGUAUGUUCAUUGUAGCAGGCAUGCAAGUCCGCCAAGGGCCCAUAAAACUUCCACGGGCUUUGUGCGGGUGACCCCACAGGCCUGCGCCUUAGCAAUCCCACCCUUAAGCCCACAAUGAAACGGUUUCUGGGUUCACCCAGAAACAGACUGGACUCAAUUUGCCUUGUGAUUUGUUUGUUAGCUUUACAAAUGGCUUUUGAGGCCAGACAACCCCUCCUAACCCUGACUACUUGAUGACUGGAAGCCCCGGGACUUCCCGGCGAACUGUGGGGGGCUCUCAGGUCUCCAUGGAGAUUUCAAAACAAUUCACCUCAAGGGAAAAGCUGUUGCUGCCCUUGAAGGGUGAGCCAGCGUUCGGACGCAGCUGGGCUGUCCCGUCUCUGGGAAGCAAAGGUGUUUCGCCUCACGCCCGCGCCGGCAUGGUCCGGGGCCCCGCUCCCUGAGAAGCUCCGAGGUUCUUGCCUGGUCCCUGACGCCGAAUCUGCUCCAGCAACCCUGCCGGUCUUGGCAUGAAAUGAGUCAUUGUUUUCAUUAACUGAGAAGCUGAGGCUCAGAGAAGGUGAGUGGCAUGUCCUUGGUCACACAGUAAACUGGAGGCAGGACCAAUGUUAGAACCGAGGUAUACUCGUGUUCUCUGGCUGUAUGACAGAUCGCUACACAUUUAGCAGCUCAAAACAACAGCCAUUUAUUAGCUCACAGUUCUGUGGGUCAGAAGUUGGGGCCCGGCAUGGCUGGAUUCUCAGCUCAGGUUGUCACCACGCUACAAUGAAAGGUCAGCCAGGCCUGUGAUCUUGCCUGGAGCUUAGGGUUCCCUUUUGUGUUCAUUCAGGUUGUUUGCAGGAUUCCGUUCCUUGCGGUUGUAGGAUUUAAGGUUCCCAUGUUCUUGAUGACUGUUGGCCUGGGCUCACUUUGAGCUUCUAGAGACCACUUUUGGGUCCUUGCUAACGUGCCCCCAACACCUUCAAAGCCAGGAAUGGAGAACCUCCCUGACACCAGAUAUUGGAUCCUUCUCAUUUCAGAGAAGCCUGGUCUCUUUUAGGCUCACCUGAUUAGGUCAGACCCGCCCAGGAUAAUCUCCCUUUCUUAAAGUUGACUGUAAUACAGCAUAAUCUAACCACAGGAAUGGUAUGCCAUCAUAUUCAUAAUUCCUUCCCACACUCAAGGGGAGGGAAUUCUAUAGACCCUGGACCCGUGGGGGCCAUCUCAGAAUUCUGCCAACCACAGGAAGUGUGCUGGAAUAGCACUUUCCCUGCUGUAGGGAAGGCUUCCUUGACAACUCAUUUUGAGAGUUCCAUGCCCAUCCCAGAUUAUAUUUAAAAAAAAAA
Long non-coding RNA from Lynx canadensis (Canada lynx), 3784 nucleotides. RefSeq lists it as uncharacterized. The transcript has 2 exons. Lineage: Eukaryota; Metazoa; Chordata; Mammalia; Carnivora; Felidae. The record is from RefSeq and is a predicted model, not a curated record.